This 80-nucleotide transfer RNA is filed under the name Ovis aries (sheep). It matches the Rfam family "tRNA". Rfam says of the family: Transfer RNA (tRNA) molecules are approximately 80 nucleotides in length. Their secondary structure includes four short double-helical elements and three loops (D, anti-codon, and T loops). Lineage: Eukaryota; Metazoa; Chordata; Mammalia; Artiodactyla; Bovidae. The record is from Rfam by way of RNAcentral.
UCCCCAGUGUCUCAAUGGUAAAGAAUCUGCCUGUAAUACAGGAGACUCAGGAGAUGAGGGUUUGAGCCCUGGCUGGGGAA